This is a long non-coding RNA of Rhodamnia argentea, 230 nucleotides long. RefSeq lists it as uncharacterized. The transcript has 3 exons. Lineage: Eukaryota; Viridiplantae; Streptophyta; Magnoliopsida; Myrtales; Myrtaceae. The record is from RefSeq and is a predicted model, not a curated record.
UGUUUACUCCUAAAAUGUCGGGUUUAGUUACAUAAAUCGCAGUUUAUCACUGGUCAAUUGAAGGUGAUUCUGAGCCUCUGAAAAUGUUUGAGAGAACAAUUAAUCUGGUGAACAAUCGAAUUAUUAACUACCGAUGUGAUACUUCCGAGAAGUGGCUGGUUUUGAUUGGCAUUGCUCCAGCCUCCCCGGAGAGGCCACAAUUGGUCAAGGGGAACAUGCAACUUUUCUUU